This 404-nucleotide ribosomal RNA is filed under the name uncultured prokaryote. RNAcentral's name for it is "bacterial SSU rRNA". It matches the Rfam family "Bacterial small subunit ribosomal RNA", at positions 355 to 776 of the family's 1533-position model. The record is from RNAcentral. RNAcentral also lists the same sequence under 1 other name.
UGGGGGAUAUUGGUCAAUGGGGGAAACCCUGAACCAGCAACGCCGCGUUAAGGAUGACGGUCUUCGGAUUGUAAACUUUUGUUGUUGAGGAAGAUAAUGACGGUACUCAACGAGGAAGCCACGGCUAACUACGUGCCAGCAGCCGCGGUAAUACGUAGGUGGCAAGCGUUGUCCGGAUUUACUGGGGGUAAAGGGUGCGUAGGCGGGAGAUAAAGUCAGAUGUGAAAUACCGAAGCUUAACUUCGGGGCUGCAUUUGAAACUUAUCUUCUUGAGUGAGGUAGAGGCAAGCGGAAUUCCUAGUGUAGCGGUGAAAUGCGUAGAUAUUAGGAGGAACACCAGUGGCGAAGGCGGCUUGCUGGGCCUUAACUGACGCUGAUGCACGAAAGCAUGGGGAGCAAACAGG